This 115-nucleotide ribosomal RNA is filed under the name uncultured eukaryote. Its description in RNAcentral is "partial small subunit ribosomal RNA". It matches the Rfam family "Bacterial small subunit ribosomal RNA", at positions 1413 to 1525 of the family's 1533-position model. The record is from RNAcentral.
GUCUGUACCCAAAGUCACUUUAGCCAACCUGCAAGGAGGCGAGUGCCUAAGGUAUGGGGGAUGAUUGGGGUGAAGUCGUAACAAGGUAGCUGUAGGUGAACCUGCAGAAGGAUCA